GCCUGGGUGGCGGAAUUGGCAUACGCGUGCGCCUCAAGAGCGCAUGGCCGCAAGGCCUUGUGGGUUCAACUCCCACCCCAGGCACCA
This 87-nucleotide transfer RNA is filed under the name candidate division WWE3 bacterium. RNAcentral's name for it is "tRNA-Leu". It matches the Rfam family "tRNA". From Rfam's summary of the family: Transfer RNA (tRNA) molecules are approximately 80 nucleotides in length. Their secondary structure includes four short double-helical elements and three loops (D, anti-codon, and T loops). Further hydrogen bonds mediate the characteristic L-shaped molecular structure. tRNAs have two regions of fundamental functional importance: the anti-codon, which is responsible for specific mRNA codon recognition, and the 3' end, to which the tRNAs corresponding amino acid is attached (by aminoacyl-tRNA synthetases). tRNAs cope with the degeneracy of the genetic code in two manners: having more than one tRNA (with a specific anti-codon) for a particular amino acid; and 'wobble' base-pairing, i.e. permitting non-standard base-pairing at the 3rd anti-codon position. Lineage: Bacteria; candidate division WWE3. The record is from RNAcentral.